This 268-nucleotide ribosomal RNA is filed under the name Olea europaea subsp. europaea. Its description in RNAcentral is "LSU_rRNA_archaea". It matches the Rfam family "Bacterial large subunit ribosomal RNA", at positions 1705 to 1982 of the family's 2925-position model. Lineage: Eukaryota; Viridiplantae; Streptophyta; Magnoliopsida; Lamiales; Oleaceae. The record is from RNAcentral.
CUCUAAGGAUCUCGGCAAAAUAGCCCCGUAACUUCAGGAGAAGGGGUGCCUCCUCACAAAAGGGGUCGCAGUGACAAGGCCCGGGCGACUGUUUACUAAAAACACGGUCUCCACAAAGUCAUAAAACCAUGUAUUGGGGCUGACGCCUGCACAGUGCUGGAAGGUCAAGGAAGUUGGUGACCUGAUGACAGGGGAGUCGACGACGAUUGCUUGUUGACCCCUGUGAAUUGCAUGAAAGUAGGGUACUCCAAAUUCGGGGGUCAAAGAG